This is a long non-coding RNA of Bactrocera dorsalis (oriental fruit fly), 11168 nucleotides long. RefSeq lists it as uncharacterized. The record is from RefSeq and is a predicted model, not a curated record. Lineage: Eukaryota; Metazoa; Arthropoda; Insecta; Diptera; Tephritidae. The transcript has 2 exons.
UAUAUGUUCGCUACCUUAUGAAGAAAUUGAGGGCAAGGCUUACUUUACAAUUAUUAUGAAAAUUUGACAAUUUGCUUCGUUUAUGACGUUGCGUACCAACAUUCGAAUCGACGGCCGGAGAUCUCACUAGUCGUACAGAAUAGGAAGGCAUUGUAAAAUAGAGCCCAAAAAGAUGCCUUGAUUUCUUCAGUAAAUAUAAUUACUAUCAGUUAGAGGUGAGAUAUGUGUAUAUGUCGAAUUUCCCGCUCAGGUGGUGUUAAUUGAUUUAUGUAAUAACAUUUAGAAAUAUUUCAGCUUCUCUAGCAUACCCUCGCUUUUAAGUCAGACAAUCGCUUACUAAUUUAUUGCAUUGAAACCAGCAUUUUUUAUUUGCUAUCUUUUUAUCUUGUGCUAUGUGUGUGCAUACAGUGGCAAAAUCAUCUGUAAAUAAAUGUAGCAAAAGCUAAGCUGGAAAGACUACAGUCUGUGAAUAGAUAUCCACUACUGCUAGAGCCCUGAUUUGCUGUUAACUAUUUGGUGUUCAUUUGUAUUUUUGUAUUCGUAUUUUGUAGCAGUUUGUUUUUCCUAUUGUGAGAAAAUUUAUUCAGACUAAAAAUUUGAUUCGAACGAAUAUUUACCACCGUUUGUAGCGUUAGUUGUGUUGUGUGUAACAUUUGUUAUGCUCAUCGUUGCCGCUCUCUACCUAGCAGAUUCCACACCAUUGGCUGAGCGCGACGAGGUCAGACAUGUGGUGAACAGCAGCUCGAUAUAAUACUUCAGUUGUUAAUUAAACGCCGAAGUUAAAGGGUCUCUGUAGGCAAGUAUUAGUGACACUGCGUCAUUCUGCGCAAUGCCGUCGCAAACUAUUGUGGAUAUUACAGAAGUGUCCUCAUCCAGGGUUGGAUAUUGGAGCUGAUACCUCAAUAAUAACUUUUUGUUCAGUAAAGUGUGAUUUUCUACUAGCUUGUGUAGAGUUUAAUUAAACAUUUUAUAAUGUUGAAAAAUAAUUACAUAUAUUAUUUAAAAACAUUGGAAAUACUUAUAAAAGUUUCCUGCAAAUAGAAAAAAUCGUUUAAGCAGCACAAAAUAGAUUUAUGGGGAAUAAAACGGAUACCAAAAUUUGAUACUCGCAUAAUAAAACUUGGCACUAAAACUAAAAUGAAAGUGACCCAAUCGAGAACCGAGAAUAUCUGUCGUAACAUAAUAAUAAAAUUGGAAAGUACAGGCAAACUCCUUGAACCAGAUUUAUUUGAGAUACUACGACUAUGACUGUGCUCAGAAAGUCACCCUAUUUAAAACAUUUUAUACAAAUUAAAUGAAUCUCAGUACCGAAGCUCUUGGGAAAUCUGUUGACUUCUCAACGGUAUAAUGCUGAAUCACUAUGAACAUACAUACAUACAUACAUAUCUAUUUUAUGUGUGCAUAUAUGAACAGAUAUAUUUGUCCGUAGUCAUGUUUCUAACCCAUAUACCUACAUACAUACAUACAUAUGCACAUGCAUUUUAUUUUGCCGACUCUGAGGUAAAUGAUCUUUAUUAAUGGAAUGCGCAGCUUCGAUGUUUGUAAACAACAAACCGGCUUUAACUACCGGAGUGAACUUGCCACAAUAAGACACUGAAGGAAAUUGUAAUUUCGCGAUCGCUCCGUUGUUCCGACUUUUUGGCAAAAGAAUGAAUAGGUGCUUAUGUUGUGCGAACCGCGCACCAAGUAAAUACUCCCAACGUAUUUCGAGAAUACGAGCACAAAUACGUACAUGAGUAUGUGCCUAUAAAACACAUGAAUAUGUUUUCGUUUCUGUAUAUGUACAUUUAUAAUUGUCUGUUAAUCGGUCGGUGUUAAAGGUUCUGCCACAAGAAUAAUUUUUGAAUCAGGCUAAUAUUAUGAAAGAACUGUAAUAAAAAUUAAAUAUACCAUACUAAUACAUUUUAAAAAUUAUUUUGAGAUCUUCAUAACACUUAAUUAUUUUUUAUAAAUUUCAGAGUCUGGAUAACAAAUUUUGGUUUAUUAACAAUAUUAUUGUUUUAAGAUGAAAUCCCUUCCAAUCGAAUAUGUUUUAUUUUCCAAAUAUUUAGGUCAUAAUCAAAUGUUCAAAAUUAAAAAGAUUUUACGUCUUAUGAGUAAAGACUGAUCAAAUUGUUUUCCCCUUAUUUUUUAUUUUGUCAACUAGAGAUCACUGUAAUUAUUACAGUGCAAUAACGAUGAUGAUACAUUAACAUUAACAUACUUAACCAUUCAUUUACGCUCAUUUUUAUGCAUACAUAUUCAUAUGUAGUAUUUGGAUGUGUACAUAUGAAUGUAGAAAGACGUAUUCAAAGUUAGUCGUGAUCAAAUAUUUUUCAUUAGCUUCAUUGGUGUUAAAUGCCUUGACACGUGAAUUUAAUUAUCAGUCGCCGAAUUGAAACAGUUAUUUACAUACAAUAUAGCAGCUAUACGUUAAAUGGCCUACAAAAUAUACAUAAGUAAAUACGUAUUAUUAAUGUAUAAAAAUCUUGGCAAGUACAAUUCAGACACUUCAUACAAUGUAAGAAAAUGCAUUGCCUAGCUUUUUUAUUAUUUGGAAAAUAAGCAUAAUAUAAAGCUAUAUGUCAUUUUAAAGCAACCAAACCAGCUUAUUUAUAUAACAUUUCAUUUUUCAUUUAACUCUUAUCCUAAUUAGGUUUCCUCCAACCCCUCAGAUCAGAUUGAACUGAGGUUAGACGAAAGUGUGUUGCCUUGCAUGAGAUCCGAAAAUUGGGAAAUAAUUAAUUAUUAUAAUGUCAUUGUUAAUAAUUUAUCAUCCAUCGACGACCGUAGAAAAAAUAUUUCUCUGGCAUAUAACGAUUAAUAACUGGAAAAAGAGCAAAUGGCAUCUACUACCUUUCGUAUAGUUUAGUGAAAAUAUUUAACUGUUUCUUCAAGCUUAUAAAAUAAAACACCGAAUAAUUUCAUUACAAUUAUCUAUUACCUAUUAUCUUCUUAUUUACCAUAUGAGUAAGAUAGAUUUGAGAUGAUUACGAUAGGUAAAUCUCACAAUUGGAGUAAGAAAAGUUACCACUGUAAAUAUUGCAUAUCACGUUUAUGUAUACAAGAACACGACAACAUACGACACAUAUACAUAUAUACCAACCUACCCCUGUGCCUCGUAAUAUUGUAAUGUGUCCGCAACGCUGCAUAGAAGCCAUUAAAAGUGUACUUCAAUUUACUGAAAGGACGAAGGCGAACAGAGCUGAUUUUAUGUGCGUGCGAGAGUGAAAGAGCAAGAGCACAAACUAUUAGAGGUGGUGCCGAAUAAAAAGUGGGUAUAAUGCAUAUGUGUUUGUAAAAAGGUGUAAUUGCGCGAACUCAUAUGCAUUGUUUACUCAAAUCUUGGCUGGGUCCUCUGGGGAAGCCACGAAACCCAAAAGAAGAACACUUUAAAAUAGAGGUAGACACUUGCAAACAUACACGAAAAUCUUACCUCAAUAUUUGCUUUUUGACUUCAUAAUUGUUUUAUAAUAGCACCAACUAAAUUGUUAAGACAAUAACUAGAAAACAAUCGGUAAUGAGUUGUAAUACUUUCUGUUCUGAAAAUUCCUAAUGAAUUGGCUUAAGUAGGUAUUACUCACCAUCCCAUCUCUUUCUGUGUAUUUUUCAGAGAACUAAUGCUCAACAGGAAUUAAUGCUGUACUUAUGAACGAAACUAAAUAACGGGAUCAAUAGUGCUAAAGUCAUAAAAUUGGCAACGUUUAACCUACUUUACUGCUGAAACAACAAAUAAGCAAAAGGAACAAUAACAAGCAUUUUAAACGCCGGCGGAGGUGACUAGUUAUAAUCCAUUGUAAAAUUCAUAUAUAUAUUUCAAUACAGUUGGUAUAUGUAUGUGUGUGCUGCACUAGUCCGAAGGCGUUGGAAAACCCGCUGACAUUGGAAAAUUUCUUCUUACUGUGCUGCUACGCUCUGCAUGUCGUAAUGAUUUGUUUCAUACAAGUAUGUCGAGCAAUUUGAUAUAGACGGUUACAUUAAGUUUUAGUUUGGAAUUUACUUUCUCUAUGUAUGCAUUUAUUUAUGCUGUUUCAAUUUUAUUUCUAAAGGAGAAGUUGCCAUCAGCUGCUGGCUCCGAACCAAACAUGUGCGCUCAGAUCGCUUUCGUCGGAACCGAACCAUUGGCAACGGGUGGCUUUUUAACAAUACUGAGAAAUAGCCCUUUAUGCCUUCAUAGUCGGGACAUUAGUCAGCAUAAUUUGUUCCGCAAUUUAUUUAACAUUGAAGAUCGCAUACAUGGUUUUUUAUUCACAAUUCCAUACAAAGGUAAUUACUUGAUAUUGACAAAAAAAUUAAAGAAAAUAAUUCUUGAAGUUGGAAAUAAACGUUAUAUAUCCGGCAAAUAUUGAAUAUCUCACUUUGAAAUAAUUUUUUUUUUUUAAUUUUAGUCUUUGUUUUCUAACUUGAUUUUUGUCUAAAGUAACGUUUUUUUCAUAGCAAUUAAAUAGUCUUAUUUAAUAAUCUUGUUAAUGACUUCAACUCUGAAACUUGUAAAUAGGCAAGGUACACUUUUAUUGUUAUAAUUACACUCUCACAAAGCAUUGCUAAAGAGUAUAAUACUGUCUGUCCAUCCGUCCAUCCGUCUAUGCAUCCAGUAACUUGAGUAAAAAUUAAGAUACUUUGUAAAUCACUUACAAUAAGACUUACGAGUACAAUAAGAAAAAAUCGGGUGGGGCUGUGCCGGGGCACACGGCCGUUGGUUUUAACGCGAAUCGCUUUUAAAGUAAAAUACUGAAAUGAAAACAAGAUUGACGAAGUUUUAAGUAUUUUAAUUUAAUUUUAAUUUUUUAUAAUUUUAAAAGAACAGGUACAUAAUAGAAACAUAAAUUAGUUAUUAUUAUCGGAGAUGAGUUCUGUCCCGGGGCAAUAUCCAAACAUUGCUCCUCAUUACAUAGCAAAGUAUGUUGUCGAGCCAGCAGGAUUUCAGAUUCUGGGGAAAAGUUGGGGUCGACAGACUCAAUCUGAAAUUCGAGCCCGAUAUAGUCAUCGAUGGACGACCAAAUCGUUAAAUUAAAUAAAGUUAUCUUCGUAGCGUAAUCGACGAAUUUGCAUAAAUGGUAACCGCGGUGAAAUCAAUCGAAUGCUGAUAGGGUCAAGCAGCGGUAGUCCGCUCGGCUUUGGAGGAUAACGAAAACCGUUUGAGCGCGACUGCCUUGGGAUUUUGUUGGCAUCUAUCGAUUUGCUACAGGUACUGCAUAAGCGAAAUUCCGUCACCUUUUCAUUGGGUAAUUUUGUUUGAAGGAAAGAAAUGUUGCAAAGUCUCGUUCGAACCAAAGUCGAUCAAAUGAUGCAAGAUAAACUAAACGGAUUGGCUUCAAAUACCGUUUUGAAGAGUUUGUCCGCUGAACGACAAUGAUUUUGCAUUGCUUCACUUCUACUGAUAUUGACAUCUCUCAGUUCCGUGGCAGAUCCAAUAGAUCAGCGUUGUCCACGGCCUAUGCGCACAAUAGCGCACGGACAGUGCCAGACACCUCACACCAACAUGUCGCGACAAGUGGCUGUGAAAGCACGAUUGUGCUUCUGUAUUCAACUCCGUAGGCAAACAAAGCAGAAUUUUGCGAUCAGUUGACGCUAGAAUAACCAACACAAGCAUAACGUGCACACAGUCACGUUGGACAACACUGCAAUAGAUAUAUCGAUCGUCUGUUCAUUCGUUAUGUCCAUAAGUAUAGGUAUUCCAGUGGUAGAGGUACUCGCGAGGUCGGCAGCAGCAGCUUUGCGACGUUCCCGAAACCGUCGCUCGACGCCGAACAUUGGGGUACCUAUGCGUGACCCACAGCCCCCUCUUUGUAACAAUAGCCGUAAUUUAUAUUUCUGGUUGCCUCUUGCAAGAGCUGAGGCCGGCAUACCAAAAUUUUUAUACGAGUAUAUUUAUUAUCACUUUCUGGUUAUUAUAAAUAAGUACUGUCCAAAUUACACUGAAUUUUAUAUAAAUCAAUCGGUUUAACUUGACAAACACACGAAAUAAUCACCGCGUUAUAUAGUCGGAGUCACGAGUUACACUGAAUAGAAACAACCGAAAGCGCGGGUUUCGCACAGUUAACGCAGUAUGCCUCCCCCGCCGCCCCGCUCGACCCCGACACGAACUUAAUGUCAUAACAGCGAGUUGACUAUAUAAGCGAAAUAUUCACACCACAUGUUUGUUUCUAAGGCUAAUAGCUUUUUAACUAUUAGGGUACGAUGAUACAAUAUAACCCUUUUCGUUACGGUCCACUUUUUAAAACUUCUACCCGUAUGUUUCGGCGCGAUUUUAAAGACGUUUCACGCCAAAAAAUGCUUAUUACGAUAACGAAUCACCUUCCUUAACUCCCCAUAUAACGGUUAUGUUGCAAAUUAGCAGUGCGAUAACUCAAUGAAUAAAUGCGCCAGAAGCCUUAAAUUUCACAACCAAGAUGAAAGGGAAGAGCUUUAUAGGAGCAAGUGCAAAAUUUGGAAGGUGGGCGUUGCCCCACCCACCCUUAGUUGAAAUUUUAUUUCUAACAUAUACUAGCAUACCAUUUGAUUCCUUCUCUUCCAGUCGAAUAUAUCGGGAUAUAGCUUUGCACAAGUAGUUCGCUAAAGCAAUUAAUUUUAUGCACAAAAAUUGUCGAAAUCAGUCUAUAACUCUUCAAGGACCCAAACACCAAAUAUCUGGACCCUAGAACAUUUAGCUGAUUUUUAAUCGAACAUAUCAGCCAAACUGUGAAUACUAUAUAGUUUUGAAAUUUGGGAGCAUUUUCUUGGGAUGAUGGCAUGCUCUUGUGCCUUCUUUAGCCUCCAAAUACCCAAUAUAUAACUGUGUAUAUUUUUGUCCAUGAUUGUAAACAAUCAAUGCAAAACCUCCUUAUUUUAAUUUUAGCAUAUACGAAAUUCUCAUAAAUCACUUUACUUAGCGAAAGUAUAAAACGUUCUGUUACAGCUGAACUCAACCUUCCUUACUUGUUUAAUAUAAAGUUUUGCGAACAUCUGAAAUUAAAUUUCCGUCUAUAAUCUCUUUCAUUUUGUCAACAUUAUACAAAAGUGUUAAAUGUAUUUGUCAGUCCUUUUUUCAGAUGGAUUCAACACUAGUCUGCAAAGGUUUCAUUAUAUUUUAUAUUAUUUAGUAGCAGCUGCGGCCACUCUUUAGACUUUCAAAGGUAAAGUAUUGAGACUAUUAUUGAAAUUAUGAGACAUUUUCAAGUUAAUUGAAUUAAAUAUUAAAAUUAUUAUAUUCUAAUAUUAGUUAUUUGAUUUGAUCGAGAGAAAAAGCUCGAAGCUUACCCUUUUGAUCAACAAAGUGAAUAUAUAGAACAACAAAUUUCUAAAUAAUCAAUCAACCAUAAGAUUUCAAAGUAAUGACAAUAUAGGUAUAUGUUUUGGUAACAAUCAAAAAUUAAGUAGAAAUUGUUCUUUUGAAAUUUGUGCAAACAAACAGACAAAUUCAACUGAUAACUACUGUGGAUUCGAAGUAAAAGAGGAACACUGUCAUUUCAAAACCAACAAUUCACUUCAAGAUAAAUGUACAACUUUGAACUCAGUACUUCAUAUUUUGACUACAGCCUUAUGCAGUUUGAUAACAAGGUGAAAAUGGUAUGAAUACAACUAUACAAUAUAGUCAAUGCAACUUCAAAGCAGCUCUUUCUGUACUCUGAUCCAAUAUGUAAAAGGAAAUACAUUCGACGCCAACUUUUUGGGUUUGUCAUUGAAACAAUUAUACUUGUAUAUAUUUGAAUUUGUGUAUUACACCUUACUCACGACGUUGUAUGCGAACUUAACCCUAUUACCGGAAAGUCAUUUAAGGAGGAGAUUGAUUGAUGAUAAUAUUUUAAAUAAACACACACAUACAAUGAAGUUCUAACGAGACCUAAUUACUCAUUCGAGGUUGGUAACAGAGGCAGUAGGCCAGCUAGCGCACGAGGUGUGAGCGUUCAAUAGUUAGUAUAUACCAUAUCACAACUUGUGCCAAUAAUUGUAUACAUCCACAUACCUACAUAUACCAUAUUUCUUACUGUGAGCACUUUUAUUUUGUUUUGCUGCAUGAGUAUGUGUAAAGUAACUCUACCGGUCUUAGAGGGUUAAGUUGGUUAUGAUAGCAAUGUGAAAAAACAAACAAAAACUGUUUCCAAGAGGCGACACCUUUUAAUCCACAAAUGUAAUCAAAGAUAAAUAAAAUUAAUUGUACAGUACAUAUUACUUGUAUUCAAUUCGGCAUAUUUCUUUGUGAGUGAUGACAUUUCCAACUUUUUCGGAAUGUUUAGCCGAAUUUGUAUUUGUCUAAGACGAUAUGCCCACAUUUGUGCAUUUGUAUGUCCAUGUACACAUAUAUAAAUAUGCGGUGCUCCAUUUCCGUAUCUUAUCGGCAAACUCAUACGUCUUCGAGCCAAAGACACCCAUCUAAUUUUAUAGAUAUGACAAAACAAUAGCAAAAACUCAAUAAUGCAACCUUUUCUGAUUUGUUUUAAAGACAGAGGAAUUUGCAUUGAACUCUUGGACAAACAAUUUUAAUCGGAAUUUUCGACAUUCGAAUCAUUAUCUAUAAAGCCUUCCAUGAUUACAUAGCUCCACAUAGUACUCAGUCGAUACUGGAUCGUGGUCGGGUAGAGAACACCUAUGCUAGCUGCGUGGGCUGUGGGUAAAUUGCCUCUGGUGAGAAAGGGCCAAGAUUCAUUUUUGGUUUAAUUCUUUAAUGCAAGCGAAUCAUAAAUAUUUUGUGUGUUGCGAAGUUAAUUUUGUUCAUUCUUGUACAUAAUAUUCAGAAUUUUAUAGCCAUUUCCAUAUGGUCAGAAUUGUAAUAAUGUGAGCAAUAGUAAGGCCUCUCAAAGGAUUUGUUGCCGUGUACAAUCUAUCAAGGCCGCCUAAAGCGCAUAUUACUGGCGCUGGAAAAAAUAAAGUAGUGUAACUAUUUUUAUACUUUCGAUUAUUAGUAAUUACAGAAGUGAGUGAACGUUAAUAAUAUAUUUAAACAAAAACAAAUGAAAAAGUUCAUUAAUGAAUCGAGUGUUUCGAUUUUUCGAAAGGUUUAACAUUCAACUAAUAUCCGUACAUAAGUAUUCAUACUUUUUAUUUCUAAUUACAGAUUACGAACUAACCACAUACGUACAUAUGUAUGUAGGUUAAAAGUGAUAGGAAAGCUGAAACAAAACCAUAGUAAGGUGCGUUGUCUAUAAGUACAAAGUAAUGGUUUAAGUGACAACAUUAUGUUCUACAUCCACCCUGUAGAUCCGAAUUUGUUUUGAUGUUUGUGGUGACAAAUUCGGUUCUAGAGAGGUUUGUGUGGUUCUAAAUACAACGAAGAAUUGGUUAUGUAAAAACAUAUGAAUUGGGAGAAAACAAUGCGGAAAACAUUAACAUAUGUACGUGCAAAAUACCAUUGUAUACAAAAACUGCUUACAAGAAGAGAAGGGAAAAUAAAAAUUUUAUUCAAAUUCGUAAAAAAUUGAAAUAUGUAAAAUAUUCACCAUAGAUACCGUUGUGAUAUUUUGCUUUCUCAAAAUACGAGUAUCUUACAUUUUAAUCUACUUUUCUAAGCUUUCAUUUUCUCCUUAAAACGAAUUUUUGAUAUCGCAAUUAAAAUAAGAGAACAAACCUUAUGUAAUAAAAGCCACUUUUUAAUUGGAGUAUAGAAUACUUUAAAGUCAAACCAAAACAGAUAAAUAUUUACAAUAAAGUUUUCUUAAUUUACGUAAAUUAACACACAUUUUCUAUUGUAACAACUGAACGACUAAAAGCUAGGGAAAUCUGCAUAAGGUCUUAAGUCACAUUUUAUGGCCUAAGUUAGAGCCAUCUAACGAGAUUUCAGCGAUUUAACUGAAUUCUAACGACACAGAAAUUUUAGUUAGAUAUAACUUUGACAUCUCAGCGUCGUUAACACGAUUAGAGAAUGUGUUCCUAUUCAAAGUCACUGCACUUUUGCUUGAACUACAUUUUACGAGGUUAGACAAAUUUUGUUCUUUCAUUUGCGAAUCGUAGAGUAGAGACAGAAAAGACACUUUACAAAGAAAUGUGGGCCAAGGGUAAAUCACUCAUUCCAGGCUAUAAAAAAUAUUAAAAAUGAUGAUUAAGUGAUCCUGAUGAGAUCCUCAAAUGGGUCUAGUAGUUAACGAGGGCAAGACGAAAUAUCUCCUAUCAUCAAACAAACAAUCGUCGUAUUUGUGACUAGGCUCCUGGAUUAAAGCCACAGUCAUAACUUCGAGGACAUAGAUAAUUUUGCCUAUCUUGGAACCAGCAUUAACAGCAACAACAAUGUCAGCCUCGAAAUCCAACGAAGAAUAACUCUUGCCAACAGGCACUACUUGGGACUGAGUAGGCAAUUGAUAAGUAGUGAGCAUUGGCAACGGCGAAUACCGCAGACGAUGAAACAAUGAGCUGUAUAAAAUAUUCGACAUUGAUAUAGUUCAAUGAAUUAAGAGAGAGCGGUUAUGCUGGCUCAGUCAUGUCACCCGAAUGAACAGCUUUGAUAGUAUUUGACGCAGUACUCGCUGGAGGAAACAUAGGAAGAGGAAGGCUUCCACUCCAUAGGAAAGACCAGAUGGAGAAGGACCUGGCUACACUUGGAAUCUCCAAUUGGUGCCAAACAGCGAAAAGAAAUAACGACUGCCGCACUGUUGUAAACUCGGCUAUAACCGCGUAAACGAUAUCUAUGCCAAUAAAGAAUUUGUAUUAUGACUGUGGAUUAUAUAUCUGGUAGCAAAAUUUCCCAAACUCAGCGAGGCAAAAAUGAAAAGUGGAAUAUUUUUAGGUCCACAAAUAUGGCUAAGGAAUGAGCUGAAAUACUUGCCUGGAAAUUGUUUGAGAACGUUUCAUAAAUUUUCUAGCAAACCAUAACUCGGAAAAUUACGCAGAUUUAAUAAAUGAACUCAUAAUGUCAUAUAACGGUUUGGGUCGAAAUAUGUGCUUAAUAAUAUAAGUAUGUAAUAGACUCUUGUCUGGAUUACUGGAGGGCAGAUUAUUGUUGGAGAGGGAAAAAGAAAACUUCCAGAAACCAAAUAUUCAUGAAAGUCAUAAGUAUUUGUUUAUGUUAAAUAAUAAUUUCCCUAACUGUACAUAGCUAAUGUUCAUACCUUUUAAGAAGAAGUGUAAAUGUUUUGUUGUUACAAAAAAACUUGACGAGUAUUUUUUCAUACUAUUUUUUAGAAGCCAUUAUACAUUAAAAAUUUGAUAUGAGUAUAUGUAUUAUAUGUAGAUGUGUUUGUGUAGUAAAAUAAACAGAUUUUUUAUUUUGUUUGUGGUUU